Molecule: ribosomal RNA, 162 nt
Filed under: uncultured bacterium
Lineage: Bacteria
Description: partial 16S rRNA
Rfam family: Bacterial small subunit ribosomal RNA
Source: RNAcentral
GGAAUCUUCGGCAAUGGGGGCAACCCUGACCGAGCAACGCCGCGUGAGUGAAGAAGAUUUUCGGAUCGUAAAGCUCUGUUGUAAGAGAAGAACGUGUGUGAGAGUGGAAAGUUCACACAGUGACGGUAACUUACCAGAAAGGGACGGCUAACUACGUGCCAA